GUCUGCGUGCAGAGCAAGAGCUGGAGGAGCUUAACCCCUUGCAAGCCCUCCGCAGUCAGCGCUGCCCAGGAAAGGACUCAGGGAACAAACUCCUGACGUCCUGGGCUUGGGAUCAUCUCAGCCCAGGCCCUGCAGCUCUGACUCUGCCAAUGUGCAACCUGAAUCUCAGGGAGACCGUGGUGAUUCCUGCCAUCUCAACCCACCGUCCUCACCCCGAGGUGGUCCUGCAGCCAGAGUGGGAUGUUCGGGGCAGCAUGGAGGUGUGAACCUGGCGGAUCAGGUGAGGACACUGAGGCCCAGAGAAGAGAAGAGAAGAGAUUCGUUCCUGGUCACCCAGAAAAGAAACAACAACAAAAACCUCUGACUCCUGGCCAGGUGCAGUGGCUCACGCCUGUAAUCCCAGCACUUUGGGAGGCUGAGGUGGGCGGAUCACCUGAGGUCAGGAGUUCGACACCAGCCUGGGCAACAUGAUGAAACCCCACCUCUACUAAAAAUACAAAAAUUAGCCAGGUGUGGUGGCAGGUGCCUGUAAUCCUCCCUGUAAUACUUGGGAGGCUGAGGCAGGACAAUCACUUGAACCUGGGAGGCGGAGGUUGCAGUGAGUCGAGAUUGCACCAUUGCACUCCAGCCUGGGCAACAGAGCAAGACUCUGUCUCAAAAAAAAAAAAAAAAAAAAACACCAAAAACAAAAACAACAAAAAAAACCUCUUACUCCUACUGCCAGGGCUUGAUGACUUUCACCCUUUUACCAGCAACAGUCAUGUGCAUGGCUGUGUCUGCAGAACCCUGCCAGCCCUUCCCACGAGCCUGAGGCACAAGAAUCACUUGAACCUGGGAGGCGGAGGUUGCAGUGAACCGAGAUCAUGUCACUGCGCUCCAGCCUGGGCAACAGAGUAAGACGCUUGUCAAAAAAAAAAAAAAAAAAAUCCACAGGGAGUCUGAGGGAAAGAGGAGGCAGGUGAGGAUUUCCAGAGUGAACCAAGAAGAAAUGAUGAAGCCUGGCUAGGGAAGUAGAGAACCAAGUUCCAGCCUGAGUGACCAGGAAUAAGCACCUUCCUUUCUCUGAGCUUUGGAACCUGCGGCUUAAUGAGAUUGUCUCUGAGGUUAUCAGAGAUUAUCUUCUAAUGCUAAACCUCCUGGAUUCUUUAUUCCAUUUGCCCACCCAGGCAGAAAUGCCAUGCAGACAGGAGGCUGCAGAGCACAGGUGUUAAGGCACAUGGGCUUUGUGGGCAAACAGAGAACUCCAUGUUCUCCCUUGGAAGCUGUGUGGCCUUGGGCAAGCUGCUUAACCUCUCUGAAUCCCAGAUUCCACAUCUGUAACAUGGACCAAUAAUUAUUUUACUGGGUUCUUGGGAUGACGGAUGAGACUAUGUGCCAAAAGUUCUUGGCCCCAGUGCCCAGCUGGCACAGAAUGACUGUUCACAAAUAAAUGGCCUUGCCUUUUCCGUGAAACGCCCUACAACCUGCUCCCUGCAGGACUGAGUUUAAUUUUCCUCAUCCACAGCUUCCACAAUAUCAACCCCAGGUCUAGCGAUGAGUCCUGGACACAAAAAGGGAGAAGCAGUUUUCCCAAGUGGAGGGAGGUGCUGACAUUUCCCUGUGACCCUCUUCCCUGCGACCCUUAAACCAGUUCCAGGGCUCACUGACCCAGCUAGAAACUCUGUCCUCACUCUGAGUAGUUAAGGAGCAGAACAAACAGCCCCUUCUCAGCCAACUGAGAUAAGGGUUAUGAGGAGGGUGUGGCCAUAUUGAGGAAAACACAUACAUAAAUUCAAAUUCAUGCUCUUUUCAAAGAGUCAAACAAACCGUGCACGUGCCAGGAAGGGACUGCUAACAGCAAAACUAUACUGAACACCUAUUAUGUGUCAAAUACCUUAUAAAAGCCUUUCCAUGGACUCAGAUCUCAUUAUUUAAUCCUCAUACUAAUCCAAGGAGGGAAAAAUUAUGAUGCCCAUUUUAUUUUAUAGGUGAGGAAGCUGGUUUGAACCAAGCUGUUUGAAUCUGGACAGUAUAAUCUU
This 2018-nucleotide long non-coding RNA is filed under the name Homo sapiens (human). RNAcentral describes it as "HSALNT0354495". Lineage: Eukaryota; Metazoa; Chordata; Mammalia; Primates; Hominidae. The record is from RNAcentral.